GCCGGGAGUGGUGGUGCACACCUGUAAUCCCAGCGGCUGGGGAGGCUGAGGCAGGGGGAUUGCAGGUUCGAAGCCAGCCUCAG
Molecule: small RNA, 83 nt
Filed under: Marmota monax (woodchuck)
Lineage: Eukaryota; Metazoa; Chordata; Mammalia; Rodentia; Sciuridae
Source: RNAcentral